RNAcentral lists this long non-coding RNA (1388 nucleotides) under Mus musculus (house mouse). Its description in RNAcentral is "Rpsl3". The record is from RNAcentral. Lineage: Eukaryota; Metazoa; Chordata; Mammalia; Rodentia; Muridae.
GUGCCGCAUCAGUUUGAAGUAGGAGACGCAGUCCUGGUGAGGAGACACCGAGUGGGAAACCUAGAACCGAGGUGGAAGGGACCCUACUUGGUGCUACUGACAACGCCCACCGCGAUCAAAGUGGAAGGAAUCCCCACUUGGGUCCACGCAUCCCACGUCAAGAGAGCACCCCCUGGAGUCAGCCAUGAUGAGUGGACUUUGGAGAAGACUACUAAUCCUUUUAAGUUGCGCCUGCUUUGUAGGAGCGAUCCCAAAAGACUUCAACCCCCACAGUCCUGUUCAACAAACGUGGGAGGUACUCAAUGAGGGGGGUAGGGCUGUAUGGACAAUCGCCGAGGUACACCCUCUGUGGACUUGGUGGCCUGAUCUUUUCCCUGACAUCUGUAAGUUGGCUAUAGGAGCCCCUCCUGGAUGGGACUUGGAGGGGUACUCUGACAUUCAGAGGGCACCUUUAACACCCCCUCCGUACGUAGAAAAACAUUCGAGAGACCCAUGGGGUGGUUGCUCUAACCAAAGGGAUAGAAGUAAGCUUCGAACCCAUCCCUUCUAUGUCUGCCCCGGGCCCCACCGAAGUCAGUCCCUCAAUCCAACGUGUGGAGGUAAGGCUGACUUCUUUUGUAAGAGCUGGGGUUGCGAGACUUCAGGUACAGCCCGCUGGAAGCCCUCCUCGAGCUGGGACUAUAUUAGAGUAACAGCCAACUAUUCCCUAGCGUCUUAUGUACCUGGAGGAUUUGACCUAGACGAGUGUACUGACUGGUGCCAUCCGCUCCGUGUCACCUUCACUGAACCAGGGAAGAGAGCUCUGGGAUGGACAAAAGGGUAUACCUGGGGUCUUAGGAUUUACAAGGAAAGAUAUGAUGAGGGAUUAUUGUUCACUAUCAGAUUAAAAAUAGAGACCCCCUACAAUCCUUUAGGCCCCCCAACCAAGUUCACACCCCUCACCCAUACAAUUACUCAGCCUACUCCAGUGAUUGCGGACCCCCUUAAUAUGGCCGCUAUCACCCAACCUCCCACUCCUCAGGUACCUCUAACUAUUACCCCCGCGAUUCCUUCAAGACAGAGGAUGUUUAACCUAGUGAGAGGAGCCUUUUAUGCCCUUAACAGAACUGAUCCAAGCGCUACUGAGGACUGCUGGCUAUGCCUGUCCUUGGGUCCGCCUUAUUAUGAAGGAAUCGCCUUCAAUGGAGAUUUCAACAGAACCAGCAGCCAUACUUCCUGCUCUUGGGGUACAGGACAAAAACUGACCCUGACUGAAGUAUCCGCGAGGAAUCCAGGUCUCUGUAUAGCUGUUACCCCGCGUAUAUUAUCACCCUGCAUCCAGUUUAGAAGAAAGCUAUGCUGGCCGGCGGUCAAAAAGAGAACCAAUUACUUUAACCCUGGCUGCAUUC